This 253-nucleotide ribosomal RNA is filed under the name uncultured bacterium. RNAcentral describes it as "partial 16S ribosomal RNA". It matches the Rfam family "Bacterial small subunit ribosomal RNA", at positions 524 to 776 of the family's 1533-position model. The record is from RNAcentral.
UACGGGGGGGGCAAGCGUUGUUCGGAAUUACUGGGCGUAAAGGGCUCGUAGGCGGCCAACUAAGUCGGAUGUGAAAUCCCCAGGCUUAACCUGGGAACUGCAUCCGAUACUGGAUGGCUUGAAUCCGGGAGAGGGAUGCAGAAUUCCAGGUGUAGCGGUGAAAUGCGUAGAUAUCUGGAGGAACACCGGUGGCGAAGGCGGGUCUCUGGGCAACAACUGACGCUGAGGAGCGAAAGCGUGGGGAGCGAACAGG